GAUGAAGAACGCAGCGAAAUGCGAUAAGUAAUGUGAAUUGCAGAAUUCAGUGAAUCAUCGAAUCUUUGAACGCACAUUGCGCCCGCCAGUAUUCUGGCGGGCAUGCCUGUUCGAGCGUCAUUUCAACCAUCAAGCCCCCGGCUUGUGUUGGGGACCUGCGGCUGCCGCAGGCCCUGAAAACCAGUGGCGGGCUCGCUGUCACACCGAGCGUAGUAGAUUUUCAUCUCGCUCAGGGCGUGCUGCGGGUUCCGGCCGUAAAAAGCCUUAUUUACCCAAGGUUGACCUCGGAUCAGGUAGGAAGACUCGCUGAACUUAAGCAUAUCAAUAAGCGGAGGA
RNAcentral lists this unclassified non-coding RNA (336 nucleotides) under soil metagenome. RNAcentral describes it as "partial contains 5.8S ribosomal RNA, internal transcribed spacer 2, and large subunit ribosomal RNA". The stretch from base 1 to 120 matches the Rfam family "5.8S ribosomal RNA", at positions 35 to 154 of the family's 154-position model. The record is from RNAcentral.